This 500-nucleotide ribosomal RNA is filed under the name uncultured bacterium. Its description in RNAcentral is "partial 16S ribosomal RNA". It matches the Rfam family "Bacterial small subunit ribosomal RNA", at positions 28 to 523 of the family's 1533-position model. The record is from RNAcentral.
GAUGAACGCUGGCGGCGGGCCUAAUACAUGCAAGUCGAACGGUAACAUGAGUAGCAAUACUUGAUGACGAGUGGCGCACGGGUGCGUAACGCGUAUGCAAUCUACCUUUAACUGGUGAAUAGCCCGAAGAAAUUCGGAUUAAUACACCAUAGUAUAUUGAGGAGGCAUCUCCUUAAUAUUAAAACUCCGGUGGUUAAAGAUGAGCAUGCGUGACAUUAGCUAGUUGGUGAGGUAACGGCUCACCAAGGCAACGAUGUCUAGGGGAUCUGAGAGGAUUAACCCCCACACUGGUACUGAGACAGGGACCAGACUCCUACGGGAGGCAGCAGUAAGGAAUAUUGGACAAUGGUCGCAAGACUGAUCCAGCCAUGCCGCGUGAAGGAUGACGGCCCUAUGGGUUGUAAACUUCUUUUGUACGGGAAAAAACCCUUCUACGUGUAGAGGGCUGAUUGUACCGUAAGAAUAAGGAUCGGCUAACUCUGUGCCAGCAGCCGCCGUAA